UCUUACGGGACGCAGCAGUGGGGAAUAUUGCACAAUGGGGGAAACCCUGAUGCAGCGACGCCGCGUGGAGGAAGAAGGUCUUCGGAUUGUAAACUCCUGUCCUUGGGGACGAAAAUGACGGUACCUGGGGAGGAAGCUCCGGCUAACUACGUGCCAGCAGCCGCGGUAAUACGUAUGGUGCAAGCGUUAUCCGGAUUUACUGGGUGUAAAGGGAGCGCAGGCGGCACGGCAAGCCUGAUGUGAAAGCCCGCGGCCCAACCGCGGGACUGCAUUGGGAACUACCGGGCUGGAGUGCCGGAGCGGUA
RNAcentral lists this ribosomal RNA (305 nucleotides) under uncultured bacterium. RNAcentral describes it as "bacterial SSU rRNA". It matches the Rfam family "Bacterial small subunit ribosomal RNA", at positions 337 to 659 of the family's 1533-position model. The record is from RNAcentral.